Molecule: unclassified non-coding RNA, 1720 nt
Filed under: Dermacentor andersoni
Lineage: Eukaryota; Metazoa; Arthropoda; Arachnida; Ixodida; Ixodidae
Description: magnesium transporter NIPA2-like
Source: RNAcentral
GUGUGUGUACGUCGGACCGUGUAGUACCAGCUGUGGGAUACCGAUUUGUAUGAGGUAGCACAUUCGUCUGUCUUGACUGUCGGAAACAGCCCGGUUUAACGAUCGGGUUGUCAAAAUUUAUUCGAAUAGAGACUUCGCGUCCUUGGCAUGCCAAAUGACGACUGCAUAUCAGGUGCGCGGUGCUCGGCUAGCAGUAACCGAUUAUCUCUGCAUGGAUCCUUGAUAGGCUAAAAGCACCUUCAAGAUUUAGCCCAUGGACGACGAUCCCGCUAUGUCGACGACGUCUAACGACUUUGACCUAAACGACGCACUGGCCAAGAGCCAUUUCUACACUGGCCUUAUAUUGGCAAUCAGCUCAAGCAUCUUUAUCGGCACCAGCUUCAUUGUAAAGAAGAAAGGUCUCUUACGCAUCAACAGCAAGGGCCAGACGAGAGCAGGAGCUGGGGGCUAUGGUUACCUCAAGGAAUGGGUGUGGUGGGCCGGGCUCAUCCUCAUGGCUGUUGGAGAAGCUGCAAACUUUGCAGCUUAUGCUUUCGCACCAGCAUCGCUUGUCACACCACUGGGUGCCCUCAGUGUCUUAGUCAGUGCCAUCCUGUCUUCCAAGUUCCUCAACGAACGACUGAACCUCAUUGGGAAAGUUGCGUGCCUUCUCUGUGUGCUUGGCUCUACAGUGAUCGUACUGCACAGCCCCAAAGAGGGCAACGUUGAGAGCAUGGAAAUGCUCGGCACCAUGAUUGUCGAACCUGCAUUCAUAGUGUAUGUGAUCUUUGUGGUGACGGCGGCCAGCAUCCUGAUGGUGAUCUAUGCGCCAAAGUACGGCACCUCCAACGUGGUGAUCUACGUGGCCAUCUGCUCGGUCAUCGGCUCCCUCUCAGUCAUGGGUUGCAAAGGCCUGGGCCUGGCGCUACGCGAGACGUUUGCCGGCCACAAUGAAUUCACCUCCUGGGUCACUUGGGUCUGCCUCGUCGGCGUCGUAAUCUGCAUCUCGGUCCAGAUGAACUAUCUCAACAAGGCACUAGAUGUCUUCAAUACCUCCGUUGUCACUCCCAUCUACUAUGUAUUCUUUACAACGUUUGUGCUAAUUGCAUCGGCAAUCUUGUUCAAGGAAUGGGGAAACAUGAGCGGCGAAGAUGUGCUUGGCAGCCUCACAGGCUUCAUGACAGUGGUGUGUGCCAUAUUCCUGCUGAAUGCCUUCAAGGACUGGGACGUGUCCCUCUCCAGCCUCCAGGGUCUGCUCCAAAGCACGCGCGAACAGCAGCAGCAGCGUGGCAUGGGCGACGGCACUCUGCCGGACCUGACCACCGCUCUGCUAGACUCGCCGCCGGGCUCGUCACACCGGUCGUCGGCCCUAGUCUCUAUGUUGCUACUUUGAAGUGGAGGCAGGAGCAUCCUCAGCAUUACCCGACAUUCUGAGACAGGCGACAGCUUUAGUGAUUUCUGGGAAGUCUUGCUCGUCGUCGAGCCAAGGAUUUUGCCGUAUAUUUAAAGAUAUCUUGUCUGUCUUUACCUUCUUUCACAAGCUAGCCCAAGUUGUCCGUAUGAAGAGCCAACACUCCAUACUGUAAAGGCUAUAGCAAUCGAGGUUGAAUGCAAACUGAACAGAGACGUUGUCGACCAUUGGGAAGAAAGCACCGUGUAAGAGCAAGUGCCGACUGACAUCUCAUCUCACCCGAACGGCAAAUUUGUACAUAUUAAAACAUGGCAUCCAUGAUCAAAGAAA